Molecule: RNase P RNA, 476 nt
Filed under: Candidatus Uhrbacteria bacterium RIFOXYA2_FULL_40_9
Lineage: Bacteria; Candidatus Uhriibacteriota
Also listed under: 2 other names
Description: RNase P RNA component class A
Rfam family: Bacterial RNase P class A
About the family: Ribonuclease P (RNase P) is a ubiquitous endoribonuclease, found in archaea, bacteria and eukarya as well as chloroplasts and mitochondria. Its best characterised activity is the generation of mature 5'-ends of tRNAs by cleaving the 5'-leader elements of precursor-tRNAs.
Source: RNAcentral
UAGGAGUGUCGGAUGACUACGGGUUUGCAACGUCUUGAACAAUGCAAACGCGAGGAAAGUCCGAACACCUCUUCCUUCGCAAGAAGGAAGGAAAAAGAAAGUCGCUAACGGCGACCGGGUAUAAGCAUCUGGACUCGAGGAAUUGGAUUUGUUCGUUCCCUGAUUCCUGAUUCAAAGCCUAGGGAAAGUCCCGCUUAGGCGGGAUCUUGUUUCCUCUUCAGUGAGAAAACAGGAUGCCACAGAGACAAUACUCGUUCCGCUUGCGGAACAAAACGUGAAAAGUGAUGUGGUGUCGACUUGUCGGCUACACAUCUCGCUCCAUGGUGACAUGGAAGCGUGGUAAACCCUUUCUGGUGCAAGAGCAAAUUUGGUCGUUCGCUUGAUCCUCUCGGCAACGAGAGGGCUAGAUAGAUGGUCAUCUCCCCUCGUUUAAUUUGAGGGUAGACAAAAUUCGGCUUACAGACAUUUCCUAAGAC